RNAcentral lists this ribosomal RNA (400 nucleotides) under uncultured bacterium. RNAcentral's name for it is "bacterial SSU rRNA". It matches the Rfam family "Bacterial small subunit ribosomal RNA", at positions 29 to 412 of the family's 1533-position model. The record is from RNAcentral.
AACGAACGUUAGCGGCGCGCUUAACACAUGCAAGUCGAGCGAGAAAAGGGGGCAACCCCCGGUAAAAGCGGCGCACGGGUGAGUAACACGUAGGUAAUCUACCCCCAGGUGGUGGAUAACCUUCCGAAAGGAAGGCUAAUACAGCAUGGGACCACGACUCCGAAAGGGGUUGAGGUGAAAGUCGGCCUCUUUACGAAAGCCGACGCCAGGGGAUGAGCCUGCGGCCCAUCAGCUAGUUGGUAGGGUAAUGGCCUACCAAGGCAAAGACGGGUAGCUGGUCUGAGAGGAUGAUCAGCCACACUGGAACUGAGACACGGUCCAGACUCCUACGGGAGGCAGCAGUGGGGAAUCUUGCGCAAUGGACGAAAGUCUGACGCAGCGACGCCGCGUGAGUGAUGAA